UGUGGGAGGGGGCUUGCUCCCGAUAGCGGUGUGUCAGCCUCCAUUGUAUUCACUGAACCACUGCCAUCGGGAGCAAGCCCCCUCCCACA
RNAcentral lists this unclassified non-coding RNA (89 nucleotides) under Pseudomonas synxantha. Lineage: Bacteria; Pseudomonadati; Pseudomonadota; Gammaproteobacteria; Pseudomonadales; Pseudomonadaceae. The record is from RNAcentral.